Long non-coding RNA from Equus caballus (horse), 1818 nucleotides. NCBI's taxonomy places the organism in Eukaryota, Metazoa, Chordata, Mammalia, Perissodactyla, Equidae. The record is from Ensembl.
CUGCUUUCUGCCAGGAUCCCAGGUGCUGGAGUGGUGCUGAGCAGGUGGAGGGGAGAGGUGCUUUCUCCUUCAUGCUCUUGGGGUUUUCUCACUCUGCCCUUGCUAUCUGCUCUCCUGGAGUGUUAGCUUGAUGAGGUCACCCCUGCUUUAGAUUUUACCUCAGUAGGGGCUUUCCCCUAGGCUGUGAGGGCCCUCAAGGAUCUUUGGCGCUCCUGUGAACAGAUGUCCCCUCCCCUCUUCCUUCCCUCUCAGAGACUGCGUGCGGUCCCGGAUCCCAGUCUUUCGUGGAGUGAUUCUAAUAGGCACCUCAUGUGGAAAACUACUCACAGGGUUUAACAAAGAAAACAUUUGGAAUAACCCAAACUUUCCUCCGUUUUGGGGGUGACUAUUCAAGCAGCCUUGCCUCUUGCUCUUCGAUUGGCUCUCCCAUUAGUGUCCUUCCCUUGAGCAUGGCUGUCCUCACCCCGACUCAGCCCCAAAGUUUUGAGGCUCCCAUUAAAAAUUCCAGACCAAGAACAGGUGAGAGAUUCCAGGCAGGGAAGUAACGUGCCUGACAUCCAUGGAACCAGUUCCUCCCAGAGGUGGCACUGCUGACUCUCCGUUCACAGCCACUUACACUACCGUCCCUGCAGAAAUGGGGUGCUACAGAGAAUGUCCUUAGCAAACUUUCAGAGACAAGGCUAUUUUAGAGUGCAAGAGCAAAAACCCAUUCAACCCGGCAAAAAUCACAGAGUCUUAGAAAGAAUCAGGAUCUUACAGAGCUCCAGUCAGGCCUCAUUGGGAACUGGAACCAGCAAUUGGAAAAGCAGCAGGAACCUAGACAGUUAUUGUCCCUCGUGUGGGUGUGUGUAUUUGUCUCCAGGCUACUUUCUCUCUGCUUCCCUUUGCACAUGAAGCUGCAGGAGCAGGAACCUGGUCAGCCCUUUCGGUCAGGUGUCCACCCCUUCUCCCUCCAGGAACGAGCAGGGAGCGGAGCCAGUUGUAGAAACAUGGGAAGAAAGUUUGAGGACGGUGGCUAACUGCCGCCGGGGACCUACGUCAGAGCUUGAACUGACCUCCCCUCAAGGGUUCUCAUAUGGGCACAGAACCUAGAGCUCAUUCAGUGCAACGCCCUCAUGUUCCUGGGUGUCUGUCACCGGUUCUGUGUCUACUGAUGCGCAGGCAUAAAUCUCCAAUUUUUCAACAACUUAUUUACAGAAAGAAUCGCGAAGCCGCUGACCUCAGACUCGCAUCUCUGAGGAACCUGACUUUGGACUUUAGCCUACGUGUUAAACCUCAGGAAAUUUUAUACAUGAGCAAGGAACACAGGACCCAAGACAAGCAGACUGAUCGUCAAGCCGCUGUCUCAAUUUUUUUAAAUGUUCUUGAGAACAUUUGACGUGUUCUUCGAGCCAAAGCAAUAGCUUCUUAUUUGGUGAGCAUGUUUUUUGAGACAAUACGAGGCUCGACUUUAAAAUUUACCCAAAUAAAAGUGUGUAUGCAUGUCUGUUAAUUCCUAAUGUCAUUCUUCUUUCAUAUAUAUUUUUUGCAUAAUUUUCAGCUAUUCUGCACGAAUUAAAACUGGUUAGUUUUUCCUUCUUUUCAUUACUGUUCCAGCCUUCUUAGGAUGAGCUCUAUUACAUAAAAAGGAUUGCGCUUUACUUUUCCUUCUACUCUGGAUCUGUAUCUCUGAAACUGUUCAUGUAGACUUUGGGCCAAUGACUGAUUAUUCCAUAGAGAAGCUGGGUCACAAAAAAUAUUGAUUACAGAUCACAUAGACUUGUGUGACUCAUAGGAGGUGGUGUAAAAGAAAGCUAAGUGGGGAAAAUUCUUGUUUUC